AUGCUUCCUUUGGCAGCGCAUUCACUAAAACUGAAAUAACACAGAGAGGAUUAGCAUGGCCCCUGUGCAAGGGUGACACACAAACUCAUGAAGCAUUGUGUAUUAAA
This is a small nuclear RNA of Meriones unguiculatus (Mongolian gerbil), 107 nucleotides long. The record is from Ensembl. NCBI's taxonomy places the organism in Eukaryota, Metazoa, Chordata, Mammalia, Rodentia, Muridae.